AUGCUAGCUAGCUUGAUCAUCACAGCAAUGCCCUCCACCAACAGCUGGACCCAUGAGAUCGAGUCGCCGGUCGCCGCCCCGCGCCUCUUCCGCGCCGGCAUCAUGGACUGGCACACCCUAGCCCCCAAGCUCGUGCCGCAGAUCGUCGCCAGCGCCCACGCUGUUGAGGGAGAAGGCGGCGUAGGAAGCGUCAGGCAGUUCAACUUCACCUCAGUUCCCUAUCUCGCAGCCAUGCCCUUCAACCUCAUCAAGGAGAGGCUCGAGUUCCUUGACGUGGACAAGUGCGAGUGCAAGUCGACCCUCAUCGAGGGUGGUGGCAUCGGCGCCGCGAUUGAGGCGGCCACGUCGCACAUCAAGGUGGAGUCGGCGGCCAACGGCGGCAGCAUGGUCAAGGUGAAAUCAACAUACAAGCUGCUGCCGGGCAUGGAGGUGGAGGAUGAGAUCACCAAGGCCAAGGGCUAUGCCACGGCCAUCUUCAAGGCCGCCGAGGCCUACCUUAUCGCCAACCCGGAUGCCUACAACGACCAAAUAAAUCAGUCAACAGAGAUCAUAUAUAUGAUUAACAUGUGA
This 570-nucleotide ribosomal RNA is filed under the name Triticum aestivum (bread wheat). RNAcentral's name for it is "partial small subunit ribosomal RNA". Lineage: Eukaryota; Viridiplantae; Streptophyta; Magnoliopsida; Poales; Poaceae. The record is from RNAcentral.